CGGCGGACGGGUGAGUAACACGUGGAUAACCUACCUAUAAGACUGGGAUAACUUCGGGAAACCGGAGCUAAUACCGGAUAACAUAUUGAACCGCAUGGUUCAAUAGUGAAAGGCGGCUUUGCUGUCACUUAUAGAUGGAUCCGCGCCGUAUUAACUAGUUGGUAAGGUAACGGCUUACCAAGGCAACGAUACGUAGCCGACCUGAGAGGGUGAUCGGCCACACUGGAACUGAGACACGGUCCAG
Molecule: ribosomal RNA, 244 nt
Filed under: uncultured Staphylococcus sp.
Lineage: Bacteria; Bacillati; Bacillota; Bacilli; Caryophanales; Staphylococcaceae
Description: partial 16S ribosomal RNA
Rfam family: Bacterial small subunit ribosomal RNA
Source: RNAcentral